UACGAAGGGGGCUAGCUUUGCUCGGAAUCACUGGGCGUAAAGCGCACGUAGGCGGCUUUCUAAGUCAGGGGUGAAAUCCUGGAGCUCAACUCCAGAACUGCCUUUGAUACUGGGAAGCUUGAGUCCGGAAGAGGUGAGUGGAACUGCGAGUGUAGAGGUGAAAUUCGUAGAUAUUCGCAAGAACACCAGUGGCGAAGGCGGCUCACUGGUCCGGUACUGACGCUGAGGUGCGAAAGCGUGGGGAGCAAACAGG
This 253-nucleotide ribosomal RNA is filed under the name uncultured bacterium. Its description in RNAcentral is "partial 16S ribosomal RNA". It matches the Rfam family "Bacterial small subunit ribosomal RNA", at positions 524 to 776 of the family's 1533-position model. The record is from RNAcentral.